GGGAGGAAAAACGCAAAUGAUGCGAAGCGUCAUUUAUCGGAAUGCGUUUUUCCGAACAGCCGCCGAAGCCGAAGGCGAGGGGGCACUACAUUAU
Molecule: non-coding RNA, 94 nt
Submitted as: unclassified sequences
Source: Rfam